This 254-nucleotide ribosomal RNA is filed under the name uncultured bacterium. Its description in RNAcentral is "partial 16S ribosomal RNA". It matches the Rfam family "Bacterial small subunit ribosomal RNA", at positions 524 to 776 of the family's 1533-position model. The record is from RNAcentral.
UACGGGGGGAGCAAGCGUUGUUCGGAUUUACUGGGCGUAAAGGGCGCGUAGGCGGCCACUGCAAGUCGGUUGUGAAAUCUCCGGGCUUAACCCGGAAAGGUCAAUCGAUACUGCAGGGCUAGAGUGCAGAAGGGGCAACUGGAAUUCUCGGUGUAGCGGUGAAAUGCGUAGAUAUCGAGAGGAACACCUGCGGCGAAGGCGGGUUGCUGGGCUGACACUGACGCUGAAGCGCGAAAGCGUGGGGAGCGGACAGG